GCCUGGGGCUGCCCAGGUCUUGCUGCUUUUCCCUUGGCAGCUCUCAAGUCCGGGGGGCAGAGGGGGGUCUGGGCCAGUUGGGGUCUGCCAGGCCAUCCCCGCAGCCCCCCUCCACCCUACCCCACAGGGACCCCCGCCUCCCAUCUGAGAGGACAGCUCUCUCCCUGGAGUUGGGAUCUGACGCUUGCUGGUACCAACAGCAGAUUUACCAGCAGGAAGAAACUAGAAGAAACUCAGGGAGCAAGGACCCCUGGGGCUUUUCACCGUGGGGCUACUCCGAAGGGCCCGGGGAGACAGUUGGAACACUUCCGGCACCACCGCCCUGUAAGUGCCUCCAUUGUAUCGUUCCUGGGAACUGGCUUCCGGCUGAUGUCAUCUGUAUGCAAAGCAAGAACUUUCCUGCACGGUUUCAGUUCAUCUUCACAAUAACCCUGUAAGGCAUGUGUUGGUCAACAUAGCAAUACUCAUACACUUUACUCACGACAUUGGUUGUACCUGCAGAGCUAUCCUGAGCAGAACUGGCAUUAUUAACCUGUUUUUCACAACAACACAUGGAACUCAAAGUGAUAAAGUUCAACCCAUCACUGUGGGGUGCAGUGGUUAACAUCAAAGUCAUCCUCCAGCCAAGAUGGAAGGAAUCAGGGUCCCUGAGUGAAGGACAAACUCUUCUAUCCUACAUUUUGGAUGUGUUUGUUACACCAGCCAGCAUCACCCUUACUAAUGCAAUACCUGCAUUUGAAUCCUAGCUCUGCCUUUUGAAGUCUGUAGUUUGGGGCCCACCCUCAUGCAAGAGGAGUGUGAGUCGGACAGAAAUGGAAGACAUAGUCCCUGCAUGUAAGCCUCUCAGAAUCUUUUAGGAACAAGACACAUCAUCGAUGAAACAAUCAGAGAAGCCCCAAAACACUUUUCAUAAAGGAUGGAAUGAGCUGCAGUCAAUUGCAAGUAAAAUCUGUGCAGAUUA
Suricata suricatta (meerkat) is the source of this 961-nucleotide long non-coding RNA. RefSeq lists it as uncharacterized. The transcript is spliced from 4 exons. The record is from RefSeq and is a predicted model, not a curated record. NCBI's taxonomy places the organism in Eukaryota, Metazoa, Chordata, Mammalia, Carnivora, Herpestidae.